UUUUAUUGGGGCUUCAUUGUAUAGGCAUGAUUGAUUGAUUACCUAUGUGGUUGAACUGUCUCUAGGUUGACAGACAUCUUGUGACCCAAAUCCCCCACUUCAAUUGAUAUAGUUGGUCUUCCUGACACAGCAAGCCCCGGAUCCCAAAACUAUUGAGUAUGGCCAGCCCCAUUGCUGAGUCAUCUUGUUAGCACAAACUAUCAGGGUGGUCCAAGGGGCCCACCAUGACUGACAAAGACACUUGUAUGAUUUUGGGAAAUUCCAAGACUUUAGAAGUUACCUCCCAGAAACUGGGAUAAAGAUCAGAACUGUCUGGCUUUUUGAGGCUAAAUUCCUUACUACACAUUAAUAGAAGAACCAGCAAAUGUCAAUGUUAGUAAUUUAAAUUUUCCCAUUGUUAUACAGAGCCUGGCUCACUAUGGCGUUUCACCUCCCAGUUCCAGUUUGGAGAUGAUUGGUCUGGUGCUGUUGCUGUGCCCACUGUACAUACAAACGUACCCUCUGUGGUUUUCCAUGUUGACUCCUAUUUUUGUGUGAACUCUCUUUAAAGUCUUUAAUUUUUGUCUCCACUCCUAUUGGACUGGUGCCUCAGUCCCAGAAGCACUGCUUCGUAUGUUUUCAAUCCUUUUCAGUCAGUGUUUGAGUUAAUGGGAUUGUCACCAGGAGCAUCCACACUUGAGAGACAGCCCAGCAGAGAGUAAGAUACAUGCCCAAUUCUUAGAUUAAUUUAUUCAUAAACUAUUUGUCACACUCCUUUGUGCCAGGCACAAUUCUGAACACAGGGCACUUAGUUGAGCUUAGAGGUUAAUGGGAAAGGCAGAUAUUAUACGGAUAAUCACACAGAAAUACACAGAAAUUGUGAUAAGGUCUGCAAAGGAAAUUACAGGUUUCCUUAAAACAGUAAAACAAGAGGAGCAAAUUUAGGUUGAGAGGGAGGAAAGUGUUCUUUGAGGAAGUGACAUUUAAUUCAAGACUUAAAGUAGGGUAAUUAUUAGCCAAACGACUAGGAACCCUGAUUUGAUUUGAGCUGGUAAGAACAGCAUGAUGUGACUUCUAAAUUUAAUCUUUGCACUGCACACUCCCCCUCCCAUCAAAUGAGGAAAAUGAUCCUUAACUAAAUUUGAAAUUAAAUCACCCUUUAAUCUAAGGUUCUUACUGGCUCUGGGGAUUAAAAAGAAACCUAGUAAAAUAUUUAGUGAGGUUAUGAAGAAAUAUUCCAAGAGAAGAAGAAUUUGGGAAAUUUUCAGUUUAUCUCAUGCCUGCAUCUGCAGCCCUUGAAGGCUGUUUUCUAUCUUUUAGUACAUGGGUACCUCUGAGAUCCACUGUGCUUUCUUUCCAUGAUAUAUGUUGAUCUAAUCAUCAAAAUUGCCUUUAUUCUUUUGCAUAGUCACAUUUUUCCCAGGCAAAGGAACCAGAGAUCAUUGUAAGACAUUGUGAACUCUUCUUCAAUGAGAUGAGCCAGGUAUACUGCAAUGAAAAAGUUAACCAGCUCUGAUACCCAGCUUAAAGGAUAUUGGAAUGAAAGCCAUGAUAUAUUUGAAGAGGCACUCUUCCUUUUAAUCCUGUUGGAUGGUUCUUUCCCCAGCCAGGGGUAGUUUCCACACGUUUGCCAGGCAUGCAUAGGAAUGAAGAUAAGAGAUCCAAGAUGCAAGAAAGCCAAUAUGGUAGAGUGGUGCUAAUAUGUCCUAGAAUCCCGUCUAUAUCAUAGGACCAAAGAGGAACAAGUUCACACAAGGAGAAGAAUGGAGGUCAAGGGAAUGGGAAUCUCUGGGGGGAAAAAGGAAAGAAAUUAAUAACCUACUUGAUAUGCUGGAAACAUUUGGGAGAAAUUACUAAUACAUGUUGUUAAGAAUCUGGUGAAGGACUUAGAAAAAAAUAGAAAAUUGAUAGACAGCAAAUGAAAAAACGAGGUAAUUAUUAACUAAUAAAAAGUUGUACUAGAAAGGAAAUGUACUCACGGUACUCAUUUUGGACAGUGACAAUAUUUGAUCAUAAUCAUGUAAUAUAUGCACUGACUAUGAUUUAACCACAGAUUUUGAUGUAACCAUGUUGGGAAGGUGAGAGUAGUGGUGUGCUACCAUAGAAGGAAGUCAAUAGAUCAUGUCUAAUAUUGAUAACUCAAGGGCAUAAGCAUAUUAUUUAGAAAUUGCUAAAAUGGAAUCGUAUUGGAACGUGGAAGUAGAACAUGGUAUUGCUGUUUUCUUGAUGGGGUGUGAUAAGGAUGGAACAGACCUUUGUAGCACUGUUGUUUUUUUUAGACAUGUGCAGGUAGUAUUUUGAUUAUAACAACUUUUGAUUUUUUUAAAAAAAUUAGCUAUAACUUAAUAUGUACAAUUUAUUUUGUUGAGUAACAAGAACAAUGAUAACAAUAAUAUGUAUGUUUUGAUAUAAGAAUUCCAGUGAGGUUGGGAAUAAUAACAUGAAUCCUUGGAGAUAUAAAAGCAGAGAACCACUGAUUUAUGUCUAACUGGGUUUGGUAUUUUUUUCAUGAAUUUCCACAAAUGUAAGUUUCCAUUAGGGAUCUCUGCAUGAGAAGUAGGAGAAGCUCAGAACCUGUAUAUUUUUUUCAAAGAAGUGGUUGAACUUCCCUAGGAUCAUCUCUUACCAGUUGUUCAUCUCCAUACCAUAGACCAAACCAUAGAGUCAUCCUUGUACCAUGUGUCCUAAAGCCAUUCUGUGUUUUUCUUAAUACUACUAAAAAAGACAAACUGCUGGGAAUAAAUAGGAAAGAAUUUGAGAACUAAAAUUGUUAUUAGGCACUUAUUAUUUAUAUUCCAUUUACUUCUCCAUAGAUUUGAGGUUUUAACCCAUGAGUGAGUAUUAGCAAAGUCAUGGUGCAUCUAAACCUAAUACUGAUAAUUGAAAGCCCUAUGCAAUGCUAACUAUGUGCCAGGGUCUGUGCCCAGCACUUUGUGUAUAUUACUUCAUGUAACUCCUACAAUUAGGGUUAGGUACCAUGAUUAACACUGUUUCCUUUUUAUAGUUGAGCACUAACUGAGGCACAGAGAAGGUAAGUACCUUGGUCAAGAUCAUCCAGUUAAUAAGUGGAGAACCAGGAUUUUUAUACACUUUGCAUUUUCUUUCCAAUGUAAAAAUCAUGUAUUGUCUGGUUAACAUACUUGAGAUGAUGCUAUAGAAAAUAGAGAUGAUAUAGAAGGGGAGAUCUAUAUUUUAAAAACUUAAAAGUCUCACAUCAUCUGUCCAAGGAUAGAGAAAGACAUGUCUGAAAAGACAAGAAUAAGCAAUGAUGUCUCAACUUUAGGGUUUGGGUGCAGGCUGCAGGUGCCUGGGGAGCACUGUGUCCCACAGCACAGAGGUAGGAGGUGGAGUCUCUGGGCUGGGAGUCUGUGAUGUGCAGGGAGCUGUGACUUUCCUUUGUUUAUCGAGGCGAAUACUCUUCCAUUCUUCAUCUGUAAGCUCAGGAUAAACACGGAGACAACACUUCCUCCAGGAUCAGUGUAAGGUGGUCCUCCUGUUGCAUAACCGCAGUUGACUGUGAUAAAUUCUCCUUCCUGGCACUCAGGUACUGGGGACUCUGCUCCACUAUGGACUUGCUACUUACCCCUGUUUUCAAAGACAUCAACAAGAACAGAAUAGUAUCAUUAUUGAGGCAUUUCUACACAUUUCUUUCCUUUACAUAUUUGCCAGAAGCACUCCAGAUUAACCACUUGGAGUCCCUUCUCUCCCCUUCCCAGAAUUUUGAAAAAACAUCUCAUGUCCUAAAACUGCCCAACUUACAGCUUAGCAGAAGCCACAAAAUAGCCAACAAAACUGGCCACUUCUUCAUCACUGUGUCUGCAGCAGAAGCUCACACAGGUCUCUGUUAGAGGAUUUUGGAAUAUAUGUUAGUUGAUCAAAGGACUCUGUUAUUAUUAUAAUUUCUCUCCAUUUACUGUAGAAUCAAAGAGGAGUCCUGACCCAUCAGAGAUAGCAGAAAUGCACAUGUAUGCACUUUUUCAGGGUUACCUGCAAAGUGAACUGUACAUAAUCUUUUAAAUAUAAUGCCCACAUUGCCACCUAGAGACAAGAUACGUGCUCAUUUAUUAUCUAGGUCAAAUACUCUGAUUAAAAAGCAAGACAGAAAACCAGACUUAGCAUCAUCCAUCAUCCAACUUGUUCUACAUAUCACAAUUGAUUUUUAUAAAGCUACUGCAUAAAUAUAUAGUUAUCUACAUUAAAUAUGAUUUUGGUAGUUUCUGUCCAUCUUUCCAGUUUGUUGAGAUGAUUUUCAAUGUUUAAUUUAUGAUAUAUAUAAACAUAUUAGCUACCAAUCUCAGCAUUGUGCUAUUUAUGCAUUCGAUGGGCAUACCUUAUGUGACUUUACAGAGAUGAAUAAACAGGUCAGGCUGAAGGAUAAAAUCCUGUGGUGACAACAAUAGAGACAUUUCUCUACAAAUUGAAUCUCUAUCUAUGGCCAUUCUUUCAGCUGAGGAUCCACCAAUGGUAGCAUCAUGUGGAACAGCAAUGCGAAAAGAGAAUACCAUGUGGUGCCAGAUGAACUUACAUUAAGCAGUAGUACUUAGCCCCACUACUUACUAGAUACUACUGGGUUUUAAGUAGUUACCACAACUUUCCAGUCCUCAGUGUCCUCAUCUAUAAAAUGGGCACAGCAAUACCAAACUUGUAGCUUUGAGGUGAGGAUUACAAAUAACAUUGAGAGUUAACAAAGCAUAGUGGUUAAGAAUGCAGGCUUUGGGCUAGUUUAUCUGUACUUGUAUGCCAGCUCUCCUCUUACUAACUCUGUGUUCUUGGGCAAGUUAGUUAAUUUCUCUAUACCUUGGUUUCCUUAUCUUUAAAAAAGGGCUAGUCAUUGUACCUGUGCCAUGAGGUUGUAGUAAGGAUUAAAUGAAUUAAUGUAUAUGAAGCACUUAGAACAAUAUUUCAUACAUAUUAAGUACUUGGUGUUAGCUAUUAUUAUAGAUAGUACAAAAGGGCUUGUGAUAAAUACAUUACUUAAUAAAUGGUACAUGAUACAUAUUUUUUAUCUUCCUAAUGAUAUAGUGAGGAAAAAAAUGCCAAACAUUUGACACAAUUUAAGUCCAUAGAAAUCCCUUGAAUUUAGCAGCCUUGUUUUAAAAAUGUCUUUAGUGAACUGUCUGGCUCAUACUGACCACCGCAUUAUUUUCUAACAGCUCACAUGUUGUCUGGUAAUAAUCUGCUCUACAUUUUGCUGGGUAUUAACCCAUCUUUUCUGUGUUCAUAGGUUUGGGAUUUCUUUCAUUCCCCUUAGGUUUUUGAAGUUUUUGCCCAAUGCCUCUCCAGUCAUGCCUGCAAACUCUUUUUGUAUUUUGGGAAUGAAUUUAAAUGGCCUGGAAGACUUGAUCAUUUUGAAAGCAUCUAAGCCCUCUCUUAGUAUUUCUUCAUUUGUCAUAAUUUCCCAUUUCUUUGCUUUUUCUUUCCCAGUUAGAAAAUUAUUCUGUUUGAUGGAGAAUAAAGGAUUUAAAAAAGCAGGAGUUGAGGUGCUCUACUUUUUUUUUUAUUCUCUACCAAACAAUUACAUUUUCCUUGCUAUGUAAAUCAACAAUCUUCCCCACCCCACUGUCUUCUUUAAACUAUUCUAAAAUGCACUUUAUGUUGCACUUCACAUUUUCUUUAAGCUUUAACUUUGUUCUGGGUUUUCACUUUAUAAUGCUUUCCUUAAAGGCUCUAUGCACUCUUCACUAUUCCCCUUUGCUUGUGUGUCAGACAGUCAGUAUUUUUAUAAUUUUUAGUUAGAAUCUGAGUUAGUAUACCUCCAUGUACUGCUAUAAG
This is a non-coding RNA of Microcebus murinus (gray mouse lemur), 5751 nucleotides long. Lineage: Eukaryota; Metazoa; Chordata; Mammalia; Primates; Cheirogaleidae. The record is from RefSeq and is a predicted model, not a curated record.